AAGGUCCUCUCCAGCUCAAACCAUUCUGUGAUUUCAUGGUCUUGUUGUAAGGCGUUGUUCCGCCUUAUUUGCCUUCUCAGGCUGCUGGGAAAAGGCCGGUGGGCUUUGGCGGCGGGAUGUUGGGCUGUGUUUGGGAUGUGCUUGUGAUGAUGGCUGUUGGGUUGGAGGGGUGCAGAUUUCUCACCAGCGUGCUUGGCUUUUAAGAUCAGUAUUAGAUUUAAAAUUACUAAUUGCCGUGGUCUCUUAACAGGAGCUGCUGUAAACUUAGCACAGAAAUGCUGUAACAUUAUUAACCUGUAUUAAUUUUUAAUUUCAACAGGUGACUUGAGGAGUCAUUUAUGGCAUUGUUGUUCUCAUGAAGAAUUCUCACUUCUUUCAGAUAGUCUUAAAAUCUGUGAACAUCCUGAGGACUGGAAUCUGAAUUUGGAUUUCACUGCACGUUAGCUUUUUGAUUUGUCUACUAGCAACUACAGAAAAUUAAUGAAUUUAACUACAAAUACCAAUGGUUUCUGUCAAUGCACCUGCACAUCACCUCAAGGACAUCACAACAUGCCGCUGUGUUUUUUUGAAGCCCAGAUUGCCUGGUCUGGUGGAAAUAUUUCAGGUGGAGAUAUACAGGUGCAAGCUCUGCCAAUUAAUAAGGAGGAUCAAAAGUAAGAUCAGGAUGCACCUGGCUCAAAUGUGUGAGACAGAUAUGGCAGGUCAAAUUUCGGGGUAUCCUAAAAUGGACGAAAGUGAAAAUGAGUCAUAUGGCAUGGGAGAUGAAAAUAAUGAAAGCAAAUAAACUCUUGCAAAAAAUAACUGUCCUGUUGCCUGUGUAUCAGAUGCCUCAAAAUAUGAGUCCUCACUAUUGUAACAUGAGCCUGAGCAUAAUCCUCAUGCCUCUCACUCCUGUGAACACCUUGUUUGGAGAAGCAGCAGCUCAUUUGCAGCUUGAGGAACCCUGCAGUGCUGACUUCUCUCCUGUAUUCCAAGAGAAAGGAUGGAGAAGCCCAGUCUGUGACUCUUAGCAUCUCUAUCAUUUUACAGUGUUAGAACUCAGACCUUUGCUGGGGAGGUAAAACCUGCUAAAGCUGAAUGGAAGUGUAAACAUUACAACAAAAAUAGCUGCAAGCUUGAUGUGAAGGGUCAGCUCGUUCUGUGGAAGAUGCUUGUGCCUUAAAGCUGGGUUCUGAGAGAAGGCAGCACUUUUGCAACAUGUGCAAUAGAGCACUAGAGCCAAAAGAUGCUGAGCAAAUCCGUUGAAAGGGUCAUGAUGUGGAUCGUGGUUUUAAAUGUAUUUAUUGUCCCAUGGAUCUUAAUGGAAAAUCAUUGAAGAAUCACACAAGCGGAUAAAAGAAACCUACCAGUGCCUCAUCUGCGAAAGUGCUUUUAUGUCACAAGAUGCCUGGAGAGUGAAUAAAAACAACCAUUAGAGGAAACCUCCUCCCAGUGCGUGGUAUAUCUGUCGCCUUCUGAAACUGAGCAGAUAAGAAAUCUUCAUGUAGCUUGCUUAUCAUUAUCGGGAUAUGGUUAGAUGUCCACACAGUGAUUUUACCAGUCCUGUUACAUGUAGACCCUUUCGGGUCACUGGCUUCAGCUCCAUCACAAUAUCCUUACAUGUGUUGGUGGUGCCUUGACCACUGAACCAUGCUGGAGAAACUGGAUUAAAGGGUCAGCCCCCCUGAAGUGCAAACUCCUGAAACCAGCAAUUAGCCGUAGUACCUGCCCGUGGCUGUCUCUGAAUUCUUUCUGCUGAAGGCUCUGACCCCGCGGCAGAGCAGGAUCUGUCUCCAGUUGUGUGGAGCUCAAUUGCACGCAGCUCCAGCCGGCUGUGUGUCCUGCAGCACAGAAUGAACAGCUGGUGGCAGAAUGGCCUCGAAGACAACAUUACCAUGCUGACCUGACUGCGACUCCAAGCACCCGGGCUGUGCUACCACACAGAGCUCCAGUAUGCCAAACAUUCAGAAGAAGAGCUUGGACCUUCACAUACACUGACCUCACACUGGUGAGGUAUUUGGCUGUAGUUUUUGCUGCUCUUCUUUCCCUGGCAAACAACUUCUCUGAAAACAUAUUAGGAAAUAUUCCUGGGUUCAGGAACCUCAUUAACCACUUCCCAGCCCAUCUUUACCUUCAAAUUACUCCUUGUGGAACAUUAGGUUCUUCAUGCUUAAACUUCCACCUGAGCAUCCCAGCAAAUAAAGAAGCUGUUGGCAUGGUCAGGCUUUUGUGCUGAAAGCCAAGGAUUAUCUGGAAGAAGAGAAGAAAUGGCCUUUAUGUGGCAAUUAAAAGUACUUAGUAUGGUCUUUCCCAAGUACUUUGUGUGCGGUAUGGUACAGGUGCUAACUUCAGUGUGCUGAGAGUAUCAUGGAGAUUUAUCUUGCACAAAGGUUGGACAUGUUGAUUUUUGGUCUGGUUACCUCUUGCUCAUACAUUCUGCUUACUUACUGAUGAAGAGUUUGACAUUUCAAGACAGAAUCUGUUGAAAAGCGUCAAAGCUGACAGUGAACCCUACAGGUGGUUUGUGUAUUACAUCUUUCAUUUUUAAUACAGUCUGUAUAAAACAGUAAAUGAUUCAAGAAAAUCUACUGAUGCUGUGGCAUUCAAUGUGGUAAAAAAUAUUAACUAAAUUUCUUCCUGGUUACUUUUUAUAACAAAAUGUGUCUAUUAUCAUAUUAUUAUUCUUCAGUGUUGAAGUAAAAAUAGAAACUAUUUUUACUAUAGAAAUAUGACAUCAAAUAAACGUGACUUGAAAAUUCA
Molecule: long non-coding RNA, 2739 nt
Organism: Pipra filicauda (Wire-tailed manakin)
Lineage: Eukaryota; Metazoa; Chordata; Aves; Passeriformes; Pipridae
Exons: 5
Source: RefSeq, a predicted model, not a curated record